GAUGAAGAACGCAGUGAACUGCGAUAAGUAAUGUGAAUUGCAGAAUUCAGUGAAUCAUCGAGUCUUUGAACGCACAUUGCGCCCCCUGGCAUUCCGGGGGGCAUGCCUGUCCGAGCGUCAUUGCUGCCCUUCAAGCCCGGCUUGUGUGUUGGGUCGUCGUCCCCCCCGGGGGACGGGCCCGAAAGGCAGCGGCGGCACCGCGUCCGGUCCUCGAGCGUAUGGGGCUUUGUCACCCGCUCGAUUAGGGCCGGCCGGGCGCAAGCCGGCGUCUCCAACCUUCUAUUUUACCAGGUUGACCUCGGAUCAGGUAGGGAUACCCGCUGAACUUAAGCAUAUCAAUAAGCGGAGGA
RNAcentral lists this unclassified non-coding RNA (350 nucleotides) under soil metagenome. RNAcentral describes it as "partial contains 5.8S ribosomal RNA, internal transcribed spacer 2, and large subunit ribosomal RNA". The stretch from base 1 to 120 matches the Rfam family "5.8S ribosomal RNA", at positions 35 to 154 of the family's 154-position model. The record is from RNAcentral.